This 497-nucleotide ribosomal RNA is filed under the name uncultured bacterium. Its description in RNAcentral is "partial 16S ribosomal RNA". It matches the Rfam family "Bacterial small subunit ribosomal RNA", at positions 28 to 507 of the family's 1533-position model. The record is from RNAcentral.
GAUGAACGCUGGCGGCGUGCCUAAUACAUGCGAGUCGAGCGAACAGACGAGGAGCUUGCUCCUCUGACGUUAGCGGCGGACGGGUGAGUAACACGUGGAUAACCUACCUAUAAGACUGAGAUAACUUCGGGAAACCGGAGCUAAUACCGGAUAAUAUAUUGAACCGCAUGGUUCAAUAGUGAAAGACGGUUUUGCUGUCACUUAUAGAUGGAUCCGCGCCGCAUUAGCUAGUUAGUAAGGUAACGGCUUACCAAGGCAACGAUGCGUAGCCGACCUGAGAGGGUGAUCGGCCACACUGGAACUGAGACACGGUCCAGACUCCUACGGGAGGCAGCAGUAGGGAAUCUUCCGCAAUGGGCGAAAGCCUGACGGAGCAACGCCGCGUGAGUGAUGAAGGUCUUCGGAUCGUAAAACUCUGUUAUUAGGGAAGAACAAAUGUGUAAGUAACUAUGCACGUCUUGACGGUACCUAAUCAGAAAGCCACGGCUAACUACGUG